AUAUACGACCGUACCGCAAACCGACACUGGUGCGCGAGAUGAGUAUUCUAAGGCGCUUGAGAGAACUCAGGAGAAGGAACUCGGCAAAUUGACACCGUAACUUCGGAAGAAGGUGUGCCCUAUUAGUGUGUAGUGAACAACGAAGCAUGAAUGGGUUGCAAAAAAUCGGUGGCUGCGACUGUUUAUUAAAAACACAGCACUCUGCAAACACGAAAGUGGACGUAUAGGGUGUGACGCCUGCCCGGUGCUGGAAGAUUAAAUGAUGGGGUGCAAGCUCUUGAUUGAAGUCCCAGUAAACGGCGGCCGUAACAAUAACGGUCCUAAGGUAGCGAAAUUCCUUGUCGGGUGAGUUCCGACCUGCACGAAUGGCGUAACGAUGGCACACUGUCUCCUCCUGAGACUCAGCGAAGUUGAAAUGUUUGUGAUGAUGCAAUCUCCCCGCGGAAAGACGGAAAGACCCCAUGAACCUUUACUGUAGCUUUGUAUUGGACUUUGAACAGAUCUGUGUAGGAUAGGUGGGAGGCUUUGAAGCAGGGUCGCUAGAUCUUGUGGAGCCAACGUUGAAAUACCACCCUGGUGUGUUUGAGGUUCUAACCUAGGUCCAUUAUCUGGAUCGGGGACAGUGCAUGGUAGGCAGUUUGACUGGGGCGGUCUCCUCCCAAAGCGUAACGGAGGAGUUCGAAGGUACGCUAGUUACGGUCGGACAUCGUGACGAUAGUGCAAUGGCAUAAGCGUGCUUAACUGCGAGACUGACAAGUCGAGCAGAUGCGAAAGCAGGACAUAGUGAUCCGGUGGUUCUGUAUGGAAGGGCCAUCGCUCAACGGAUAAAAGGUACUCUGGGGAUAACAGGCUGAUGCCGCCCAAGAGUUCAUAUCGACGGCGGUGUUUGGCACCUCGAUGUCGGCUCAUCUCAUCCUGGGGCUGUAGCCGGUCCCAAGGGUAUGGCUGUUCGCCAUUUAAAGAGGUACGUGAGCUGGGUUUAAAACGUCGUGAGACAGUUUGGUCCCUAUCUUCCGUGGGCGCUGCAGAUUUGAGGAAGCCUGCUCCUAGUACGAGAGGACCGGAGUGGACACACCUCUGGUGUAUCGGUUGUCACGCCAGUGGCAUUGCCGAGUAGCUAAGUGUGGAAGAGAUAACCGCUGAAAGCAUCUAAGCGGGAAACUCGUUUCAAGAUGAGAUCUGCCGGGGCCUUGAGCCCCCUAAAGAGUCGUUCAAGACCAGGACGUUGAUAGGUCAGGUGUGGAAGCCA
This 1249-nucleotide ribosomal RNA is filed under the name metagenome. RNAcentral describes it as "bacterial LSU rRNA". It matches the Rfam family "Bacterial large subunit ribosomal RNA", at positions 1634 to 2876 of the family's 2925-position model. The record is from RNAcentral.